Myzus persicae (green peach aphid) is the source of this 779-nucleotide long non-coding RNA. RefSeq lists it as uncharacterized. The transcript has 2 exons. The record is from RefSeq and is a predicted model, not a curated record. NCBI's taxonomy places the organism in Eukaryota, Metazoa, Arthropoda, Insecta, Hemiptera, Aphididae.
UAAAAAAUACUUUUUAUCUAUACAGAAACAAAAAUGUUUACAAUGUUAAUAUACACAUUUUGAAUCAAGUACCGACCACUUAAAUUACGAAUUGUAAAAAUUAUGUAUGUUAUUGGGUCCAAUUCCAAAUUGUCCCGAAGGAAAAUACCAUUAUUGAUUGAAUAUGUUUUAAAACAAAAACUAAAAACUAAUAUCGUAAUACUUUUGAAGUAUUUUAAUUACUCGAUACGAAUACAAAUUAUUCCGAAUGCUGUUUCUCACAUGUGUUCGAGUACUUUUGAAAAGUAUUCCACCCAAGUCUGCACAACAAUAUUAUAGUGGGUUCCAAGCGACGAGUUUCGUGUGCUCGUACACGUUCGUGCGGUUGGCAAAUAGCAAUAAUAUGAUAUUAUUAUGUUUGAGACGUGGAGUGUGUGUACUUGUUGGGUGCAGCGUGUACGAAAAUAAGUCAUAUUAUUAUGAUGGUGUACAAGGCACAAAGGUACUUAUAUAAUAUUAUUUACUCGGUGUAUGACGCGUACGCAAACAUCGCGGGUUCUUAUCUAAAUCGGCGUGCGUCGUGCGGCGCGACGUUUCGGACGGGGAAAAAAAAAAUUGUCAUUCGAUUGCCUAUUAUGUCGUACGCAUUGUUGUUGUAUGAAUUUUUUUUUCUUCCGCCACGGUAGUAUUCUUCGGCCAAAUACGUAUAGGCAUAGAAUUUUUUCGACGACACGGUACCCGAUGUACGGCCACUCGUGUUUGGGGCCAUAUUUCGAUGUUGUGCGUAAAAAAAAAAAAAA